Molecule: ribosomal RNA, 480 nt
Filed under: uncultured bacterium
Lineage: Bacteria
Description: partial 16S ribosomal RNA
Rfam family: Bacterial small subunit ribosomal RNA
Source: RNAcentral
GACGAACGCUGGCGGCGUGCUUAACACAUGCAAGUCGAACGAUGAAGUUCCUUCGGGAAUGGAUUAGUGGUGAACGGGUGAGGAAUACGUGAGAAACCUGCCUUUCAUUUUGGGAUAACUCCGGGAAACCGGGGCUAACACCGAAUACUCCGUCUCGGCGGCAUCGCUGAGCCGGGAAAAAAUUUUGAUGAAAGAUGGUCUCGCGGCCUAUCAGCUAGUUGGUGAGGUAAUGGCUCACCAAGGCAACGACGGGUAGCCGGCCUGAGAGGGCGACCGGCCACACUGGGACUGAGACACGGCCCAGACUCCUACGGGAGGCAGCAGUGGGGAAUAUUGGGCAAUGGGCGCAAGCCUGACCCAGCGACGCCGCGUGAGGGAUGAAGGCCUUCGGGUUGUAAACCUCUUUCAGUAGGGAAGAAGCGAAAGUGACGGUACCUAAAGAAGAAGCACCGGCUAACUAUGUGCCAGCCGCCGCGGUAA